UGUUAGGGAAGAACAAGUACGAGAGUAACUGCUCGUACCUUGACGGUACCUAACCAGAAAGCCACGGCUAACUACGUGCCAGCAGCCGCGGUAAUACGUAGGUGGCAAGCGUUAUCCGGAAUUAUUGGGCGUAAAGCGCGCGCAGGCGGUUUCUUAAGUAUGAUGUGAAAGCCCACGGCUCAACCGUGGAGGGUCAUUGGAAACUGGGGAACUUGAGUGCAGAAGAGAAAAGCGGAAUUCCACGUGUAGCGGUGAAAUGCGUAGAGAUGUGGAGGAACACCAGUGGCGAAGGCGGCUUUUUGGUCUGUAACUGACGAUGAGGCGCGAAAGCGUGGGGAGCAAACAGGAUUAGAUACCCUGGUAGUCCACGCCGUAAACGAUGAGUGCUAAGUGUUAGAGGGUUUCCGCCCUUUAGUGCUGCAGCUAACGCAUUAAGCACUCCGCCUGGGGAGUACGGUCGCAAGACUGAAACUCAAAGGAAUUGACGGGGGCCCGCACAAGCGGUGGAGCAUGUGGUUUAAUUAGAAGCAACGCGAAGAACCUUACCAGGUCUUGACAUCCUCUGACAACUCUAGAGAUAGAGCGUUCCCCUUCGGGGGACAGAGUGACAGGUGGUGCAUGGUUGUCGUCAGCUCGUGUCGUGAGAUGUUGGGUUAAGUCCUGCAACGAGACCAACCCUCGAUUUUAGUUCCCUGCAUUUUGUCGCGCAAU
This 711-nucleotide ribosomal RNA is filed under the name Priestia megaterium. Its description in RNAcentral is "bacterial SSU rRNA". It matches the Rfam family "Bacterial small subunit ribosomal RNA", at positions 434 to 1139 of the family's 1533-position model. The record is from RNAcentral. Lineage: Bacteria; Bacillati; Bacillota; Bacilli; Caryophanales; Bacillaceae.